This is a long non-coding RNA of Hydractinia symbiolongicarpus, 1596 nucleotides long. RefSeq lists it as uncharacterized. Lineage: Eukaryota; Metazoa; Cnidaria; Hydrozoa; Anthoathecata; Hydractiniidae. The transcript is spliced from 11 exons. The record is from RefSeq and is a predicted model, not a curated record.
GCUCACAAAAGCUAUUAUAUUAGAAGAGUAAAAUAUAAAUAUAGCAGCUUUUCCAUACAGAUCUUGCGUUAAAUUAUCAAUUCCUUAGCAAACUUUGUUGUUGACAAUAUCAGCUUCUUACAAAGCGUUAUUUUAUUUAAACGUAACCGUAAAAUAUCCUUACAAUGAACAUCCUAUCUUAAGCCACGAAAACCAAGAAACAGAACUGGGGAAGGUGUAGCAAAAACCUUUUGCGAGCUUGGAGCCGAUCCUCCUGGAUUUGAAAAAUCUUACAUCGAUGACUACAUUGGUUAUGGAAUUUUUGCGACGCUAAACUUCCAGAAAAGUGAUUUCUUGUUGGAGUACCCUAGUACAUUGCUAACAGAAGAGGAGGGUGAUGAGUUAAUGAAAAUUUAUUCAGAUGACAUAUGAUCGUUCCAAAUAUUUGCAUUGAUGCAACACAUCAAGAAAGAUUAGGAAAAUACGUUAAUGAUUUAAAGUUUCCCAACUCCGAAAUCAAAAGUGUUAUGUUAAAUGGACGCCUUCACUUGUGCUUGUUUGCACUAAAAGACAUUGCCUAUUUGCACUGAAAGACAUUAGCUUCAUACGAUACUCGUAUGGACCUAGCAGUCUUUGGUGAAGAAAGGAAAACAGUGAUUGUGACGUUGACUUUGCACUGUCGGAAAGUCAAUACAUAAUACAUAAAGAUGGAUUAACAUUUUUUGAUGUAGAUCAACAAAAUAAGGAUAAAGAACAGGAGUCAGUCGAGAGAUGCAGUGAAAAUGUAGUUGGAAGCGCGAAAGAACUUCAAUGCGCGGAUAGAAAACAGGAAACAGUUGAGAAAGAAAAGAAACUUUCAAAUACAUUUGCUGACGCUGAUUAAAUAACGUUAGAAGGGACGUCGUUAUCAGAGGAAAUGUUCUAAAACAAUUGAAAUGCUAAAGAACUGUGAAAAACAUAUGUUAGAGCUGAUGAUCAUAUUUCGUCAGUAAAUUCAGAAUAUAGUGUUGACGAAGAUUGGUAUUCUGCAAAAAUUCGCAAGAUCGCUGAACGUAAAGAAAAGGAGAGCAAAUAUAGGAACACUGCUGCUUUCACAUUUAAUGUUAACUCUCCCCAGUAUGUAUGGAAACAGAGAACAGAAAUGGUGUAGAAAAUGCAUUUGAUGGUGAUGGUGUAGAAAGUGACGCAAAAGAUGAAGAAGACAAAAAUCUGAAGCUUGUAAUUACGCUUGGCACAAACACUCUUUCUACAAUGAUUUUGAAAAUGGCUUACUACCCCAGACGGAAAAAGGAAAAGUGCUCGAGCAUCAAAAUAGCAUUCUCAGCAGGAUCAGCUUUAACUUAAAACAAGAAUGAUGAUAGCGACAACUUAUCAAUUAUCCCUUCCUCGUCUUGUUCGCUUUCAAACGUGUUUGACACAGGAAAGAACGGGUCAAAUUCUCCCGAGCUAAAAACAAGUUGACUUGGCCGAAAUUUGGAAACAUCAUCACGAGUGCAGCGAAUGUUAAGGAAAGGGAAAUUAUAGAAGUUUUUGAUACGGACGAGUGCGUGAAGACAUUGAUAGCGAAGUAUGGAAUAACGACUAUUGUCACGAAGAUUCAGACAAAAAAAAUCAAAA